GGCUUCUCGAUCCCAAGCCCUCAGGUAUACAUGUCUAGGUUAUUCAUAUUUUCUUUUUCAUUCCUAGACAUUUAGGACUUCUAACAUAGCUAGAUGCUCUCUGAUCUAACAUGCUAUAGUUUAGGCUUCUAUCGAAUUUUCAAGGUUGAUGCUAAAAAUCUUUGUAAUCAAUAGCUAUUUGUUUAUCAUCGUAGUUUUUGUUUCAUGUAUUAUUAUGUCAGUUAAGAAAUUGUUUCAGCAUUAUACUGACUGGUAACUUCUUCAGAUAUCUAUACGUUCG
RNAcentral lists this unclassified non-coding RNA (280 nucleotides) under Hevea brasiliensis (rubber tree). Lineage: Eukaryota; Viridiplantae; Streptophyta; Magnoliopsida; Malpighiales; Euphorbiaceae. The record is from RNAcentral.